GCCCGGUGCGGUGGCGCGUGCCUGUAGUCCCAGCUGCUCGGAGGCUGAGGUGGGAGGAUCGCUUGAGCCUAGGGGUUCUGGGCUGUAGUGCGCUAUGCCGAUCAGGUGUCCGCACUAAGUUCGGCAUCAAUUUGGUGACCUCCCGGGAGCAAGGGAUCAUCAGGUUGCCUGAGGGGUGAACCGGCCCAGGUCGGAAACGGAGCAGGUCAAAAUUCCUGUGCUGAUCCGUAGUGGCAUCGCGCCUGUGAAUAGCCACUGCACUCCAGCCUGGGCAACAUAGUGAGACCCUGUCUCU
RNAcentral lists this signal recognition particle RNA (295 nucleotides) under Cebus imitator (Panamanian white-faced capuchin). Its description in RNAcentral is "Metazoan signal recognition particle RNA (ENSCCAG00000002140.1)". It matches the Rfam family "Metazoan signal recognition particle RNA". Rfam says of the family: The signal recognition particle (SRP) is a universally conserved ribonucleoprotein. It is involved in the co-translational targeting of proteins to membranes. The eukaryotic SRP consists of a 300-nucleotide 7S RNA and six proteins: SRPs 72, 68, 54, 19, 14, and 9. The record is from RNAcentral. Lineage: Eukaryota; Metazoa; Chordata; Mammalia; Primates; Cebidae.